This is a long non-coding RNA of Thunnus maccoyii (southern bluefin tuna), 1090 nucleotides long. RefSeq lists it as uncharacterized. The record is from RefSeq and is a predicted model, not a curated record. The transcript has 5 exons. Lineage: Eukaryota; Metazoa; Chordata; Actinopteri; Scombriformes; Scombridae.
AUAAUACAACUGGCAAACAGCUGAUAAAUAAUGUGGCCAUGUAUUAAACAGGCAUAGCUGAGGCUGAAGCAGUAUAUUCCCUCUAACAGUGGGUUAAUGUACAUCAGCACUGCAACACUGCCAUCUAAUGGCCAGUAGUAGACAUGCAUGACAUCAAUCCGGGGGCUGAACGUGCUGCUACACUGCACGGGUUGUGCACGCCUGUUAAUUAACGAGCGGACCUACAAAUGGCCGUUCAGUCCACUAUUCUAUUGGUAAUAUGGUCAAGGUCCAGUGGGUCCAGUAGGUCCACGAGGUCCAGUGGGUCCAACAGGUCCAAAGCAAGGACGUCACGAUGCACGAGGUGAAAAUGGUGCACCAGGUAUGGCAGGUCAACCAGGUGAGUGACUACAAAUAAAUUCUACUAAUAUAUAACAUCCAGCUGUAAUUCUAAUGCUCACAAUGUCUACUUCUACCAUCAGCUGUGCUUUACCAUGUACUAUACCUUCACCUCAGCCUCCCUUUACCUCAAACUCACUUUUCACUGUCUGAUCUAUUCAUGUUCGUAGCAGCACCAAAGUCAACAUCUUAUUCAAAAUUAGAUGAAACGAACACAGAAUUCAAAUGGAAUUUGAACUAGUGAUUACUAGUGUUUGCUAAGCAGAAUAAAACUCAAACAAUGACUAUUUUCAUUCAAUUGUAACAUUCAGGGCUAAUGCAUGAAGUAGUGUGAUGUUCAUAUAGUGCAAAGAAAAGAAACUGAUCUUUUAUAAUCUUUAUUUAUUUUGUGGAAUUUUCCCAAUUUAUUUUUGUCCUAUUUUAACCAGUUGAUUAAAGUUCAAAUUAUGGGAUGGCCCCAAUGAGUGUACAGUACAUAAUGUUUCUGCUCAUUACAUUUAGUUAUAUUACGUCAUUUUGCAUUCAUUACAAUGGAAAAAUAGAGGUAAAAAAAACAUACAUUAUGCUUGUUUAAUUGGUGUGAACCACAUCUCCUGUCCUAUACCUCUUACACCUCUGCUGAUAUUGCUGCAAAGUUACAGCCAGUUUAGAUGGAAAUGGAUGCUUUAAUAAAACAAAACAAAGAACCUACAAAAUCCCUGUUUGUAAUGUG